CUACGGGUGGCUCCAGUGGGGAAUAUUGCGCAAUGGGCGAAAGCCUGACGCAGCAACGCCGUGUGAGGGAUGAAGGCUUUCGGGUCGUAAACCUCUGUCAGAAGGGAAGAACGGGUAUUGGUCUAAUAGGCCUUUAUUUUGACGGUACCUUCAGAGGAAGCACCGGCUAACUCCGUGCCAGCAGCCGCGGUAAUACGGAGGGUGCAAGCGUUAUUCGGAAUUACUGGGCGUAAAGCGCACGUAGGCCGCUUUGUAAGUCAGGGGUGAAAUCCCACGGCUCAACCGUGGAACUGCCUUUGAAACUGCAGAGCUUGAAUCCUGGAGAGGGUGGCGGAAUUCCUGGUGUAGGAGUGAAAUCCGUAGAUAUCAGGAGGAACACCGGUGGCGAAGGCGGCCACCUGGACAGGUAUUGACGCUGAGGCACGAAAGCGUGGGGAGCAAAUAGGAUUAGAUACCCCAGUAGUC
RNAcentral lists this ribosomal RNA (465 nucleotides) under uncultured bacterium. RNAcentral describes it as "partial 16S ribosomal RNA". It matches the Rfam family "Bacterial small subunit ribosomal RNA", at positions 339 to 795 of the family's 1533-position model. The record is from RNAcentral.